AUGACCAAGAAGGCCUCUGUGGAAUGCAACUUCUGCCAUGGUGUUUACAUUGGUGGUAUUACUCGAAUGAAGUACCACCUUGCAAAUGUCAAGGUUCAAAAUGUCGUUUUGUGCCAACAAAUUCCAGCUAAUGUGAAGCAAGAGAUGAGGGAGCUGAUCUCAAGGAAAGAUGAAGCAAAGGAAAAGAAGGCCAGGGAAUCAGCAAUACGCAGAAGUGACGUCAAUUUGGAUGGAAAUGAUGCUAGGGCUGCUGAUGAAGAUCACAUCUUGGGUGGUGGUAGUGGGGGUGGUCUGCUUGUAUUAUCAGGGAAACGACAGAGUAAGGGCAACACAUAUGGUUCUAUGGAUAAGUUUUGCACCAAGUCAACAGAAGAGGUUGUGGCCGCAAGGAAGGGGGAAGGCUUUUCUACAAAGUUGCAAAGUUGUCCACUCAAAGAAGGGAAGAGAGGAGGGUCCGUGCUUAGCAAGAAGAAAGUCGAGGAAGGAUUUGCUGGACAUAAAGAAGCAUGGAAGCUCACUGGAUGUACCGUCAUGAAAGAUGCAUGGAUAGACAAAAGAGGAAGGGGAGUGAUGAAUUUGGUAGUUCAUAGUGCCUAUGGUGUUGUUUUUGUUGAUUCUGUGGACUGUUCAAAUGUGAGAAAAGAUGGCAAGAUGAUAUUUGAUCUUGUUGAUAGAUGCAUACAAGAAAUUGGGGAGAAGAAUGUCGUUCAAAUUGUAACGGAUAAUGCCUCAGUCAAUAUAGCAGCAGCAACAAUGAUGAAAGUGAAGCGUCCCUCCCUAUUUUGGAAUGGUUGUGCAGUCCACACAAUUGAUUUGAUGUUGGAGGACAUAGGGAAGCUUCCUGUAAUCGAACAAACAAUUGCCAAAGGAAAGGUUGUGACUAUGUUCCUUUAUGCGCAUACAAGAGUUUUGGCAUUGAUGAGAAAAUUUCUUGGAAAAGACCUAGUCCGCUCUGGUAUUACUAGGUUUGCAACAACAUAUUUUAACUUGAAGAGCUUGCAGGACAACAAAAAAGAGCUACAAAAGUUGUCCAGGUCUGAUGAACUCAAUGAAAUGGACCACCUAAAAAAGGCAAAGGGGAAGAACGCAGCUAAAAUCGUUCGCUUUGAAACUUUCUGGAAAGCCGUAGAUACCGCUGUCAAUUUCUUUGAGCCAAUGGCAAAUCUUUUGAGGAGGAUGGAUAGUGAUGUUUCGGCAAUGGGUUUUAUUCAUGGUUGUAUGCUGGAUGCAAAGAAAGAGAUCUCCGUGAGGUUUGACAAUGACAAGUCUCGCUUUCUGGAAGUGUGGGACAUCAUUGACAAGAGAUGGGACAGCAAGUUGAAGACUGCAUUACAUAUGGUUGGAUACUACUUGAACCCAUACUAUUAUUAUCCAAACAAGCUUGAUAUUGAGAUUGAUGGACAAGAAACUAAACAAACACAAGGACCCAUUGAGAAGCAGGUGGUAGAUGUUUUAGAAGAUGAUGAGAAUGAAUGGAUCACUGGUGUAGUGCCAAAUGGUGAUGAAGAACAAGGUGAAGAUCAAGAUCAAGAAAUUCCGUAUGCAAGCUCGCAUGCUGGACCAGGAACUUCUGCUAUUAAUCCACUUAAAAGGAAGAGGGGUGUCUAUGGUAAGAAGAAGAAGAAGAUGAUCCCUGUUACUCCUCAAGAAGAUCUGCUCUCUGCUUCCUCUGCUUCAGAAAGUGAUGACGACGAGGACACCGACAUGAGUUCUGGUUCUCACAUGUGA
RNAcentral lists this ribosomal RNA (1728 nucleotides) under Triticum aestivum (bread wheat). RNAcentral's name for it is "partial small subunit ribosomal RNA". The record is from RNAcentral. Lineage: Eukaryota; Viridiplantae; Streptophyta; Magnoliopsida; Poales; Poaceae.